Molecule: small RNA, 729 nt
Filed under: Histoplasma capsulatum
Lineage: Eukaryota; Fungi; Ascomycota; Eurotiomycetes; Onygenales; Ajellomycetaceae
Also listed under: 1 other name
Description: hypothetical RNA
Source: RNAcentral
ACGAAACGCCCCUCUCCUCGCGAUCCCGCUCCGCGCUCGCGUAGUCUCUAACGAUUCCUCCGCGUAACCCCUAACAUUCUUCCGCUCCGCGCUCCACUGCAGCGCGACCCCCGAUAUUCUUCCGUCCCGAUCCUCCUUCUAUAAGAACCCCCUCGUACGACCCCUUCUUCUGAUCUUCUUUCUCUUUCUUUCCUUAAUCGAUUCGUAAACUGUUACCAGGAUAGUGUCAAGUCCGUUGAUAUUGCCGUUGGAACGGAUCGUACGAACUGCGCAGGCGGUACGAACGGUUUAAUCUGCAACAUCGGUAACAUCUGCUUAAUCGGUGGCACGCCCGUCACAAAUAUGAUGUAAGCAGUUUCAGUGUCAAUGAAUCAGAUCAUAUAUUUCAUAUAAUGUCUAAAGUUCUCAUUCUUAUUUCUAGCUGAUGAUGAUAUUCUGAACACAUUAUCUAAUCUUGUGCUUUCUGCUUGUUGCAGUUUGCUUUUUCAUUGAUGAAAAUCAAGUGCUAGAGAUUGCUGAAUAAGACACUGAAUGAAUCUUUUCUUAGACUCUGAUAUAUACUUUCUGAAAAUGCUUUUUAUAUGAUUAAGAUGACAGUCUUUGCUCUGUAAAUUCUCAAAGAAUUCUUUGACUAUAUUGUGGAAACUAUAUUUCAAAAAUUGAUAGAUGUUGUUGAGAUUUUCUUUUAUCUUCUGCAAAAGAUGCUGAGCUCAAUAUAAGAAAGAGGAA